This 465-nucleotide ribosomal RNA is filed under the name uncultured bacterium. Its description in RNAcentral is "partial 16S ribosomal RNA". It matches the Rfam family "Bacterial small subunit ribosomal RNA", at positions 28 to 507 of the family's 1533-position model. The record is from RNAcentral.
GACGAACGCUGGCGGCGUGCUUAACACAUGCAAGUCGAACGGAAAGGCCCCCUUGUGGGGUACUCGAGUGGCGAACGGGUGAGUAACACGUGAGUAACCUACCCUUGACUUUGGGAUAACUUCAGGAAACUGGGGCUAAUACCGGAUAGGAGCUCCUGCUGCAUGGUGGGGGUUGGAAAGGUUCGGCGGUUGGGGAUGGACUCGCGGCUUAUCAGCUUGUUGGUGGGGUAGUGGCUCACCAAGGCUUUGACGGGUAGCCGGCCUGAGAGGGUGACCGGCCACAUUGGGACUGAGAUACGGACCAGACUCCUACGGGAGGCAGCAGUGGGGAAUAUUGCACAAUGGGCGGAAGCCUGAUGCAGCAACGCCGCGUGCGGGAUGACGGCCUUCGGGUUGUAAACCGCUUUCGCCUGUGACGAAGCGUGAGUGACGGUAAUGGGUAAAGAAGCACCGGCUAACUACGUG